UGACGGUACCAUAGGAGGAAGCCCCGGCUAACUACGUGCCAGCAGCCGCGGUAAUACGUAGGGGGCGAGCGUUGUCCGGAAUGAUUGGGCGUAAAGGGCGCGUAGGCGGCCCGUUAAGUCUGGAGUGAAAGUCCUGCUUUUAAGGUGGGAAUUGCUUUGGAUACUGAUGGGCUCGAGUGCAGGAGAGGAAAGCGGAAUUACCGGUGUAGCGGUGAAAUGCGUAGAGAUCGGUAGGAACACCAGUGGCGAAGGCGGCUUUCUGGACUGAAACUGACGCUGAGGCGCGAAAGCGUGGGGAGCAAACAGGAUUAGAUACCCCUG
Molecule: ribosomal RNA, 321 nt
Filed under: uncultured bacterium
Lineage: Bacteria
Description: bacterial SSU rRNA
Rfam family: Bacterial small subunit ribosomal RNA
Source: RNAcentral